Molecule: long non-coding RNA, 1186 nt
Organism: Neofelis nebulosa (Clouded leopard)
Lineage: Eukaryota; Metazoa; Chordata; Mammalia; Carnivora; Felidae
Exons: 2
Source: RefSeq, a predicted model, not a curated record
CUGCUAUACACAGUGCAGCCAGGGGACCCUGGCCCGGAGAGGCAGGGCCAAGCCUGAGGUCACCUGGCAGGACCUGCUACCAGGCCAGUAGCCCCACCCUGCCCCUGCCUCCCCUGCCCACUCACCCAGUCCCACCUCAGCCCUAGACAGCUCCGAACAAGCUUCUGGAGGGCCCCUAGCCUGACAGACUCUUUCCACCGCCACACCUUUGCUCACGCUGUGCCCCUGCACUCUUCCCCCCACGCUCACCCCCUGCUGCUUCAUCCAGGCACAGCUUGCCCCUGAAAGAGGGACGAUCCAGCCAAGACGAGAGGAUUCCGGGAAGUUGGGGGUGUUACAGAGUUGGUGGGGGGGACCCCACUGACAUGCGACAGACUCGGUGCAGGGUACAUCACGUGCUUUCUCGCGGGACACCCUACAAGGGUUGAUAUCAACUUGAAGCUGCUACGACCAUCUUGGUACCACGAAGGGAGUGACGUUUACACCACAAAGGAGUGACGUCUACACCAAGGAAAGACUGACAGACAGACGGAGAGAAACAGAUUCCUGAAGGUAUCCGCUGAAUACCUGGAACCAGCUAUGCCUGAAGCUAACCCUCAGGUUAUGUGAGGCAGUGACUUCUCUUUGAUGCUGAAGCCGGUUGCAGUUGAGUUUCUGUUUAUGACUCAGAGUGCACAUGAACACGGUCAGUGCCUCUCGCCAGUCUGGGACAUGCCCGGGGCCCCGGGCCCCGCUGCAGACAUACAGGAGCCCGCAUAUGUCCCUGUGGACGUGGAUCCCAGUCUUGCCCUCUCUGGAAGUCUUUUCCCACAGCCAAUACUCCCACCCCAGCUGUGGGGCCUUGGGCAGUUCCCUCCUCCCAACUGUAUGUUCUCUGUGCACCCCCAACCCUCCCCCACACACACGGUUACCCCCUCCUGCCUCGGAUGCUCUAACAGCCACCUCUGCCCGCCUCCCUCAGCAGCCCAGCAGGGUGCCGCACAAAUCACCACCCGGGAUCUGGAUGGAUUCUCACGGCUGCCCACCCACUGGGCCCCCUGAGACCUGGCUCUGCCCCAGAGUGCACACCUCUGCUGUGGCUGGGGACAGCCCCUUAUUUGCCCCACAUGCCCCUUACCUUUUUUAGAUGUUUAUUGCCAGCUUUCGAACGGCAGAUUUCGUACUAAAACAUGAUCUUUGCCACUUA